Molecule: small nucleolar RNA, 105 nt
Organism: Octodon degus (degu)
Lineage: Eukaryota; Metazoa; Chordata; Mammalia; Rodentia; Octodontidae
Product: small nucleolar RNA U13
Exons: 1
Source: RefSeq, a predicted model, not a curated record
AUCCUUUGGUUCAUAAGCGUGACGAUUGGGUAUUCAUGUCUUACAAUGCAUGAGACGUGCCUCCCUCAAACCUUCUUACGACGUGGGCACAUUGCCCAUCUGACG